UACGAAGGGAGCUAGCGUUGUUCGGAAUUACUGGGCGUAAAGGGCGCGUAGGCGGCUUGAUAAGUUUGGUGUGAAAGCCCUGGGCUUAACCUAGGAAUAGCAUUGAAUACUGUCAGGCUAGAGGCCGAGAGAGGGAAAUGGAAUUGCGAGUGUAGAGGUGAAAUUCGUAGAUAUUCGCAAGAACACCAGUGGCGAAGGCGAUUUCCUGGCUCGGUACUGACGCUAAGGCGCGAAAGCGUGGGGAGCAAACAGG
RNAcentral lists this ribosomal RNA (253 nucleotides) under uncultured bacterium. RNAcentral describes it as "partial 16S ribosomal RNA". It matches the Rfam family "Bacterial small subunit ribosomal RNA", at positions 524 to 776 of the family's 1533-position model. The record is from RNAcentral.